Molecule: long non-coding RNA, 2045 nt
Organism: Bubalus bubalis (water buffalo)
Lineage: Eukaryota; Metazoa; Chordata; Mammalia; Artiodactyla; Bovidae
Exons: 4
Source: RefSeq, a predicted model, not a curated record
GGGAGAGGGCCGAGAACACGCCUCCCGACCGGGACCCCCCGCACAGACCUUGGCGCCGCAACCUGCGCUUCUUGAGGCCGAAGAUGCGAACUUUGGAGAAGAUGUCCACCAGGGCAAGGAGUGGAGGAGCGGCGCCCGCAGGGUCUCCGCGUCGGUGCGUCCAGGGCGCGCCGGGCAGGACUCAGCGCCUGACUCGAGCUGCCCCCCGGCCGGUGCCGCCGCCGCUGCCCGCUCGCGGAUUCUGCCGGUGCCCGAGGCUCCCCGGGCUUAGCGAGGGUUUCUGGAUCUUAACGUGCCUCCUGGUCCACGGAAACUCGCGGGCGCGGCUGGAACGCGAGGUGGUUUCCGCCCUCCUGGCUAAUCCCUCCAGCUCCGGAGCCUCUCCACCCCGGGAAGGAGGAGAGGGGAGGAGGGAGCUUGGGUGGGAAGCGAAUGGGUCCUGAGAAGGGAGGCGUCUCCACUCCCUACCUAAUCCACCCAGACUCUCCGGACUAUUCCUUCGUCUAGCUGCCGGGAGAAGUAGGCUUGCCAUCCUGAAACCGUAGCAGAGCAAGAAGGAGGGUGCAGGGGAGGGGAGAAGACCCCACCUCACCCCUCGCCCCGCCCCGCAUUCCCAAAUGUACUCUGUAGCACUCGGAGGAAGAGAUGGCUGCAGCUGUAGCCGCUACAGAACAGCAGCGGGGACGGAACAUUGAAGAAGUCACUACAGAAUAUUAAGGGCGGGGAGGGUGACACAGUAUUCCAGUAACAAGAGAAAGCAGCCAGACUGAGGGACACUCCAAUUAGAGCUGGUGUCCCUGGGUAGAGAGCCAGGGAGCAAAGCGGAUGAACUGUGUCUGACAUUCAAACACAACAGCUGCUGCCUAGUCUCCCUGAUUUCCUGUCUGUGUCCCAACAGCAGUUCCGUGUUGGGUGAGCGAAAAUAUGAAGGCCCAGGAGGAGGGGAGCAAGUGGAGGGCGCCCUAGAAAAGGAGGUUGGGAGAGAAACAAUUCACGCCUGGGUGAACGCAGAUCCAUGGUUUCUAGGAUACACUCGGAGCGUCAGAACUAGGAGUAGCUUGUGCUCCUGUGGUUUCUCACCUUUCCCUCUUUCCUUUAGAUUGCUUGUCAUUCCAGGAAGGCAAAGAAAAGAAAUGGGCAAACUAGACGUCUCACAAUCGGGUGUGAAGAAUGGAGGAAAGAAAACUCAUUUGGAAUAGGCGGCAAAGUACCAUGCAGACCUGCAACCAGGCAAGUGGGAGAAGUUCAGACAAGGGCUGAUGACAAGGAUGCUAGACACCUUUUGUUCUAUGGAAGAACUUAUCCACAGUCUCACCAUGGAAGCAAUUACUGCUCAGCUGUUUUUCGUUGUAUUUACAACAUAUUUACUAACAAGUCUCUUCGGAGGAAGAGAAUUUAAUCUAAAAGGAGUAUGUAGAUUUCAGUCCAAUGCAGAUCAAAUUGGUUUUAGGAUAAUGUACAUAAUGUUUAACAUUAAAGAACAUAUUCUGCAAGCUGACUUUCCCUACCUUAUUGUGUUUUAUGCACCUAUGAAAUAUGUCUAUCUAAUAGCCAUGAUUAUUAAAAGGAAUAUGCAUGAGGAAUUCUUCCAGAGAUUUGCAAUCCUUAACCAGCUAUGAGAUAGGAAAAGUAAAGGAAAAGUGUGUGUUGACUAUUUUACUCUAUGCCUACCUUUUCCUCCCUGUGUUACAUGUCUUUGUUCUCAUCUUUUUACACUAUGUAUUUAGUGUUGCCAUGUUCCUGCUGAAAAAGGAAAGGUCAUCGGCAGAGAUGGAUACACCUAAUAAAAGGCUAUUAAAAACGCACUGAAAUAAGUCGUAUUGAACAGAAGAAGUAGCUUCUCCUGCCUUCCAUUAUUGAAGAGUGGCUAUUUGGACAUUUCAGACAUUACAGAUUGCAAUUUCCUAGUGACUUUACAAUUAAAGCAAACAUAUUUACUUAUAGUAAUGAGUUUUUCAAAGAAGCAAAAUGUUAAGUAUAGUAACCUUUUAAAUAUAGUACAAUUGCCCCAAACAACAUAACCCAGUUUGCUUUGAAAGUUUUUU